UUUUUAAAAGCAGUAUUUUGGUUUCUCCCACAGUAUUCUGAAAAGGAGGAUAAAUAUGAAGAAGAAAUUAAACUUCUGUCUGACAAACUGAAAGAGGCCGAGACCCGUGCUGAAUUUGCAGAGAGAACAGUUGCAAAACUGGAAAAAUCUAUUGAUGACCUGGAAG
Long non-coding RNA from Myotis davidii, 166 nucleotides. RefSeq lists it as uncharacterized. The record is from RefSeq and is a predicted model, not a curated record. NCBI's taxonomy places the organism in Eukaryota, Metazoa, Chordata, Mammalia, Chiroptera, Vespertilionidae. The transcript has 2 exons.